GGUAAUGAUGACCCCUGGUGAGUCUGAGUGUCCGCUGACGCCAUCACCGCAGCGCGCUGACC
This 62-nucleotide small nucleolar RNA is filed under the name Peromyscus maniculatus bairdii (prairie deer mouse). RNAcentral's name for it is "Small nucleolar RNA SNORD48 (ENSPEMG00000003309.2)". It matches the Rfam family "Small nucleolar RNA SNORD48". Rfam says of the family: U48 belongs to the C/D class of snoRNA which contain the C (UGAUGA) and D (CUGA) box motifs. Most of the members of the box C/D family function in directing site-specific 2'-O-methylation of substrate RNAs. Lineage: Eukaryota; Metazoa; Chordata; Mammalia; Rodentia; Cricetidae. The record is from Rfam by way of RNAcentral.